GCGUGUUGCACGACGACUUCCUCUAUGUUGUGAUUCCUCUUCUGAAUUGAAAUCUAGGGUUUGCCUGCGUCCAACAAAGUUUGUAGUUUGAGCCGUUCGUCCGAGCGACAGAAAUUCAAUUGGGUUAUCCUUAAUUGUUGCCCAACAGCCCUUGGUUUGGGAUCUAGAACCCAAUUGGGAGGUGGUGGUUAGUGGGUUCUGGUCGAAUGUUUACAUUGGUUAUCUAUGAAGCGCGGCGACGAUCACGAAUCGCGGUUCCGAAGCCAAAACAGUGGAGGGGUUUUCAGAUCUACAACCCCUAAUUGAUGUUCUUACCGUCUACUGUGCAGCACGCCUCUUGCAUGCCUUGUUAUCGUGGGAUCGGCCGAAUCGACCUCAUAUGAAAUCAAAUUUAGGGUUUUCUCUGUGGUCGAGAUUUGGGUUCGGCAGAAGUUCCCACUCGCCUUCGCCCAUCGUGGCUGUGAGAGGCGUCAAUUGCUUAUCUACGAGGCCUCCAUCCAAUUUCGACUCAUCUCCUCUGCCUCUCUCUCUGUCCCUCUCUGCCGCCGUCGCCGUUGCCGCCAUCAUUCCCUUCAUCGGUACGUAACCUUCUUCAUUCUAUACACUCUUUCGAUCCCCUUUCUAUUAUUGUAAUCUUGCUCACCCUGUUUGAUGAAAUGCGUCUGAGAUCUCUCUUUUACGAUCAGUUGAAUUGAAUAUGAUAAGGUUUGCAAUUUUGAUUAACAUGAACAACUCUAUAUUGAACACUGAAAUGCUUUAUGUAUUGUGCUGGUGUUUCCGGGUCGAACCCAAAGUUUCAGUCAGGGCCGGCGAACUCAUCGAAAUCGAAAUCCAGAGCCUUCACGCCUGAAAUAGAUGUACAAUUUGAAUAUGUAGUCUCAGCCAAAUCUGGAGCACAACACAGAAUUCAGGAGCACAACUCACAUCCAAAUUCAGCUGUAAGUUCUCUAUUCACAAUUGGAUAUUGAGAUUUCUGAUCAUAAUGUUAGAACUGAAAACGAAACAAUAAGAAUUUCUCUGUUUGGUGCAAAUCCGAUUUUUCUAAUUUCAUUUUUCAAAUUGUUGAUAAAGAUGUGUGUGAAUCCAUAGUAGCUGACAUUGUUUUAUUGAAGUUACGGUGAAAUAGAUUGCUAGUGUGUGUUAGAGAUUAACUUGUAGUGCUAGAUGUGUGUGAUUCGUACAGGUUAGUGUUUGCUUAUUAUGAAAUUUACCCAAUUCUAAUUACAGUGGUGAGUGGGUUAUAGUAUAGGGAGCAAGAAAUUUAAUCCUUGUUGUAUUAGAGGAUCCGGAACUUGAUGAUGGUGGUCUCCGAUUCAGCGAGGAGAAUUAUUACCACCAGUUGUGUUCACAACGGAGAAGAUAACUGACUGGAUUUUGAUAUUAGCAUUAGUACAGUUCUGUACUUAUAGACCUUGGUUGCUCCAUCAUGAUAUCUGUUCAAAAAGCAACUGAAGCAUUUGGUGAAGCAUCUGCCCUCAUUUACCAUCGUCGUACCUGAUUCGUACAAGGUAUUGAACAAGGCAAUGGCAAUGCUUAGUCAUGAUUGAAUGUAAAGUAAGAAGCAGCAUAGGAGUUUUUGACCAUAUCUAACUGUUGAACUUAGUUUUUCAUCUGCCUAUUUUGAUGAGUAGUUCUGCUGCAAUGUUUUGAUUUUGAUUUUGUUGACUUCUCUUCUUUGGGGUUGUACUUGUUAUGUCAGCCCAUUAUUAAAAGAGAACAAUUAAAUGUCUUUCAUCAUAAUAAUAAUAUUGCGUGCAAUCUUAUUAUUAGACUUCUGGACCUUUUCUAU
This is an RNA transcript of Fragaria vesca subsp. vesca, 1789 nucleotides long. RefSeq lists it as uncharacterized. NCBI's taxonomy places the organism in Eukaryota, Viridiplantae, Streptophyta, Magnoliopsida, Rosales, Rosaceae. The transcript is spliced from 3 exons. The record is from RefSeq and is a predicted model, not a curated record.